UACAGAGGUGGCAAGCGUUGUUCGGAAUUAUUGGGCGUAAAGAGCUCGUAGGCGGUUUGUCGCGUCUGCUGUGAAAACUCGGGGCUCGACCCCGGGCCUGCAGUGGGUACGGGCAGACUAGAGUGCGGUAGGGGAGACUGGAAUUCCUGGUGUAGCGGUGAAAUGCGCAGAUAUCAGGAGGAACACCGGUGGCGAAGGCGGGUCUCUGGGCCGUAACUGACGCUGAGGAGCGAAAGCGUGGGGAGCAAACAGG
This 253-nucleotide ribosomal RNA is filed under the name uncultured bacterium. RNAcentral describes it as "partial 16S ribosomal RNA". It matches the Rfam family "Bacterial small subunit ribosomal RNA", at positions 524 to 776 of the family's 1533-position model. The record is from RNAcentral.